RNAcentral lists this ribosomal RNA (253 nucleotides) under uncultured bacterium. RNAcentral's name for it is "partial 16S ribosomal RNA". It matches the Rfam family "Bacterial small subunit ribosomal RNA", at positions 524 to 776 of the family's 1533-position model. The record is from RNAcentral.
UACGUAGGGUGCAGGCGUUAAUCGGAAUUACUGGGCGUAAAGCGUGCGCAGGCGGCUUCCUAAGUCAGAUGUGAAAUCCCCAGGCUCAACCUGGGAACUGCGUUUGAAACUGGGAGGCUAGAGUGCGGCAGAGGGAGGUGGAAUUCCACGUGUAGCAGUGAAAUGCGUAGAUAUGUGGAGGAACACCGAUGGCGAAGGCAGCCUCCUGGGCCAGCACUGACGCUCAUGCACGAAAGCGUGGGGAGCAAACAGG